GCGGUACUUAGCGCAAUGGCACGCCCCCAGAGGCGCUAGGCUCCGCCCCGAGGCCGCGUUGCGUGUGAAGCGGCGCUUUGUGCCGCGGCGCAGCUGCUCUGGAGAGAUGGGCAGGGCAUGCGCCAGGAGGCGGUGCUUGGCCUGUCGGGCACGCCCCCGGAAGGACCAGACGGCCCCGCCCCCAGGCCGGCGUUUUGCGAACCACCGCGCCGCGUGCGUCAGGAGGCUGCUCUCGGCCACGCCCCGCCCCCAGGCCGGCGGCACGCGAACGACCAUGCUUUGUAUGUACCACAGUGGAGUAGCUCAAGAAAGGUAGAGGACCUUAAGUCUGGAACCGGUGACCCACUAGGAAGAAAAGCCCCCUCGAUGGCUGGGCCCCGCCCCUAGGCCGGCGUCCAGCGAGCGACCACGCUAGGGGGAAACUUGACUAAGAAAAAGAGCUACUCACCGUGGAGAUGGCAAACAGAGAGUUAUCAAAGGACAUGUCUGAAACAGAAAACAGAGUCAGCAAAGGGUGGGGCCGCUGCCUGGCACCCACCUGCUCCUGUCCCAAGACCUCAACACCCAGAGUCCACCCUGCAGAAGACCCUCUCCUGCUCCUUUCCAGUCACCACAGGUCCUCCCACCAGAGGGCACUGUAGUGGGUGAAGGUCUGCCCAGCCAGUGAAAUGAUGACAGACUGCCCUGGAGGAUCUCACCUCUGCUUCUGUAAGUUCUUUAUUUUAGCUAGAAGAAAGACAGACACUGGUUAGAUUUUUCUGGAUCUGGUAGCUGCUGAAAAAUGUCUACACCCAUGAAACCAAAAGCUCCCUUGACCUGUAUGGACCCCAGCCUUGCCUUUUCCACAUAGAUCUGCUAUACAAAGAACUUUCUUGGUUUAUGUUUUUUGUCUUGUUUCCUAGGCAGGGUUUCACAUGCAGCCCUGGUUGUUCUAGAACUCACAACGUAGAUUAGACUGUAGUUAGAGAUCUGCCUGCUGAGUACAGGGUAAAAAAUUUACACCAGCAAUCCCAGCACUCGGGAGGCAGAGGCAGGCGGAUCUCUGUGAGUUUGAGACCAGCCUGGUCUACCCAGCGAGUUCCAGGACAUGGUCCAAAAAACAAUACAGAGAAACCCUGUCUCGAAAAACCAAAAAAAAAAAAAAAAAAAAAACACCAGCAUGCCCACCUCUUAAUUUUCUGAAACAGUCCUGUGUGGCUCAUGCUAGCCUGAACUCACUAUGUAGCCAAGGCUGGCUUUGAACUCCUGGUCCUCCUUCUACCUGCUAAAUGCUGGAAUUAUGGGUGUGCGACAUUACCCCUUGAUCUGUUUCUUUGAGACAGGGUCCACCUUGGGUUGGUCUCUAAAUCACAAUCCUCCUUCAUCAGCCUUUUGACUUCUGGUGCUACAAGUGUGUACUACCACUUCAACCUGAUACAUUUUAGGUGGUUUUUUUUUUAACCUUUAUUUACUCUAUGUCUGCAUGUUUUGGUAUGGGUGUGAGUACACACACCAUAGGGCAUAUGCAGAGGUUAGAGGAAAGGUUAGAGGUUAGAACUGUGGAGUCAGCUGUCCUACCAAGAGUCUCAAGGAUCAAAUUUAAGUAGGUAUGAUUGGCAGCAUGCAUCUUUAUCUACUGAACGAACUUUUAUUUUUUUGUGUGUUUGACUUAUGAUAAAUGUAUGUUUAUUAUAAAACAAAAACAAAGAACUUCAAGUUACCAAUGUGGUGGUUUACGGCUAUAAUCCCUGCAAACUGAAAGCAGAGGCAGGAAGAUUACCUACAUUUCUUUUUUUGUUGUUUUUGGAGGGGUUUUUUGUUGUUGUUGUUUGUUUGUUUGUUUGUUUGUUUGUUUUUUCGAGACAGGGUUUCUCUGUGGCUUUGGAGGCUGUCCUGGAACUAGCUCUGUAAACCAGGCUGGCUUCGAACUCACAGAGAUCUGCCUGCCUUUGCCUCCCGAGUGCUGGGACUAAAGGCAUGGGUCACCAACACCUGGCGGAUUACCUACUUUUCAAGGCCAACCUGAUCUGUAUGGGAGAUCGAAGGUCUCCAGACCAGUCUAGCCUGUGAAGUGAAAUCCUGUCUCUAUAAAGCAAAAUCCAAACAAAAUCUUCAAAAUUGUGCAAACAUGUAAAAUUACUCUUCUUAAAAACUAUGAAUUUCGGGCUGGAGAGAUGGCUCAGAGGUUAAGAGCACUGACUGCUCUUCCAGAGGUCCUGAGUUCAAUUCCCAGCAACCACAUGGUGGCUCACAACCAUCUACAAUUCAGUCUGGUGCCCU
Mesocricetus auratus (golden hamster) is the source of this 2259-nucleotide long non-coding RNA. RefSeq lists it as uncharacterized. The record is from RefSeq and is a predicted model, not a curated record. The transcript has 3 exons. NCBI's taxonomy places the organism in Eukaryota, Metazoa, Chordata, Mammalia, Rodentia, Cricetidae.